AUGGACUGGAGUGCUGUGGAUUACUUGUGGAUUAUUGUGAUGUUUUUAUCAGCUGUUUGGACUCUCAUUCUGACGGCACCCAUUCACUGCAGAGCAUCCAUUGCUGAGACACUGAUGCAAUGCUACAUUUCUCCAAACCUGAUGAAGAAACAAACUCAGCACAUUUCCAGAAAACUUUCAUUUUUAGGACGACUCCAAAGCUUUCCUACAAAUGUGCUCCACCAGAUGUCAGAACACCAGCGCAGUCAAGAACACGUCUGAUUGGAGCGACUGCGGCUCUAUUAGCUCCUGACUGAUGAUCCGGUGGGGCUGUUGCUGCUUUUAUUGGCUCCUACAUCACAGCUAGCAUGCACUACACUUCUGUCUGCAAACGGUUCCCUAGGGAGUGCAGUUCUCGCUGCACCUGUCCAUCCAUGAGCACUAACGCCCUCCCCUCGACUGAAGCGAGGAGGGGGCUGUCAGAUAUAUGGCUUAAUCUGCAAUCAGCAGGAUUUCUUUGCACUGCUAGAUUGACUCUUUCUGGGCACUGAAAAGCUUUUAGUAAAAUAAGCGAGAUGAUGCAUUACGAUGCAGUUUAGUAUGUUUUUUGACUUAAUAAACCGAAGGAAAAUAUGGUUUUAAGUUGUCUUUUACAUGCAUUUGCUUGCAUAUGCAAAAUUCAUUAUUGCAUGCUGUUGCUAGGGUGUUUUGAGUGGUUGCUAGGUGGUUUCUACCUGUCUUCUGGUGCAAUGUGCAUCUGUGGGAUUUUUUCACUGAACUGUUGUAUUUGGUGAACGCAACACCAAGCGCACUAGUGAUGAUUGAUUUAAUGCCAUGAAUGAAUAGACAAUGAAAUUUGGUAGAUUUGACGCAGGAUACAGAGACACGCCUUUCUAAAGUUCAUCAAGUUAAAACCGGACUGCUGUGACUUUUGUUUGUUCAGCUUAUGCUCAUCUGGUGGUUUUCUAGCAGGUCUUAACUGGUAAAGUGGGUCGGUCAGCAUGAUUUUUGUGAAGCUGGUUGACCAAAGUAGAUAUGCUGUUUAAGCUAAUUAAGCAGCCUAACGGGGGCAAACCAGCAGACCAACAUCUACAACAAACACUGGUGGCUUUACUGGACUGUUCGCCUCUUUCACUAAAUUAUUAAAUGAAACUGUGAAUUUCACAAACAGGCUUAUGAAAUCUGAAAAAGCAGAAACAGCUGGAGAAAUAAACUUUUAAGGAGUGGGUGUUGUGAGAACCCAAGUAGAGGCCCAAACUAAUAAAGAAACACAUACCAAAAAACCCACAGAGGACAUGCGAGAUUAAAAGAGGAAAAUUUAUAUUACCACACCACAGGAAGGAAAUACAGAUACUGAAAAGAUUUAAGAGAAACGAAUUUACUGAUCUACAACGUGAGAUUUCAAAGCUCCUCUACAGAAGCGCAGCUGUGAUCGCUGAAUACUCAUGUGUUUUGAAAAAUGUAUUAAAAACAAGUCAUCUCUAAAAUUAAAAAAAAAAUAAUAAUAAAAUAAGUUGGGAAACAACAUAACAAAAAUAUAACUUUUUUAAAGAAAAAGUAAUACGAGUGCAAUUAAGGCAAUUCAAAAACAUUUUUCUUCAACAUGCUUUACUUUAAAUGUGAACUUUAAAAUGAUUUAAAGACAAAUUGAAAAAGGGAAGAAAUGCAGAUGGAAAGGAACUGAGUGUUUAAAGUGAUAAUGUGGUUUAAGUUGUUUUUGUUGAUGUUUUCGUGGAUUGAUGUUGGUUCUGUGAUUAAUUGUUUUGUUACUCUAUUCUACAUCACUUUGGGGAAAAAAGGAGUCAUCUAAAUGUAAUGUAAUGUAAAUGUAAAAAUAGAUUUAAAAACAUUGAAGAUUCCUGCAACUAGUCUGAGCUUUUCAUUAAUCCCAUGUUUCAUUAAAUUAUUAUUCAUAGCAGCUCUUCACAUACAUCAAUUCUCCAUUAAAAAAAAAAAAAGCAAAAAUAAUGCUUGUUUUCAAACAGGUUUCUCCAACAUUUUCAUUUUCCAGUGGUUGGACAAACUCCGCCUCUAAACCCAUGUGGUUGGUUGGAAUGUGUAACUAUGGAAAGACUGCAGACGACUUUACUUUUGUUGAAAGGAAGAAUGAUUCACACACAAAAUAGCUGAUAAAGGAAUAAUUCCCCAUUAUUUGAGUACAAAAAAAGACAUGUUGAAUGAUGUGGUUAACCAAACAGCUGACAGUAGCCAUUGAACUGCUAUCGUAUUUAGAAAGUCAAUGGCUGCCGUCAACUGUUUGGUUACCCUCAUUCUUCAAAGUAACUUCUCCUGUGUUCAGCAGAAGAUAGAAACAUACAGGUUUGGACUGACAUGAGGGUUAGUAUACAAUGACUACAUUUUCAUCUUCAGGUGAACGGUUCUUUUAAGAAGGCUUUUCUGUACUCUGAAUGGACCUUAAGCAACCAUAACUCUUAAAACACUGCAAUGUUCUAUUAUUGUAUUUUUCUCUCAUUCUCACACAGACCUGUUUGCCGACACGUCCGCUGUCCUCUUAUAAUUCAUGGCCUGCUGUUUCUGUGGCCGUGCUGGAUGGGAACAUCGAUUGCAUUGACCACACAAUCACCUUUCAUUUCCGAGGGAUUGAGUGAUUGAAGAUGGUGUUGCAGUAUAAACAAGUGAGCUCAUCUCCCAGCAAACAGAAUCCUUUGCUAAUAUUUCCAUUAAGUUCCAUUGAACGUUAUUUCUGAAUGUCCAGUUUUCGAAAUAUUUUUAAAAUGUUUUAAUGUUAAUGGAACGUUCUGUUAAAUGUUAAAACGUUACUUUUGAUCUGAAAAUGAUGUAACAAUUAGCAACAUUCAAAAAAUGUUUUUGUAACUAAAACGUUACAUCGGCAAUGUUUCUGUUUGAACGUUUUUGUAGAAAAUUAUUAAAGACCAGAUAACGUUGAACAAAUGUUCUAUUAACAUUAUUGGAAGAAACAUUCUGAGAACAUUUCCUGUUAGAUGGACUGUUGAUCCAGAUGAGAAAAAAAAAAACAUCUUUAAGAUAGAAAAAAUCAAUGAGACUUCUUAAACAUCUCAACUGUUACUCCUAAACCCCCAUGAGAUUAAAUGGAGCACAAAUAGAGAAUAUAGCGAGCUUUCUCCUGCUUCAAUCUGAUCUCAAACGUUUCUCACCCAAAGACCAAAUGGGCUUCGGAGAAACAUCUCAGACAGAGUUGAUACUUAAAUAAACCCUAAGUGAGAACUAUUUAUGUUUAUGAGUUAUGAAAGAAGAACUUGAGCAAUAAACUCCUCCUCGGGGAGCAUCUUGCAGUCAUUAAUCCACUCCACACUAUUGUACCUGGCAGUGUGGCAGGUUUCCGGCUUGUCUCUCUGGGAUCCGUCUGUUUUCGCCUGCAGGCAGAAAUGAAAGAGACAUUCGACUGCAUAAGGAAAGAUGUUUAUUUGUUUAGUUGCGCAUAUGAUGUUCUAUUAUAGGCGGUCGAGGGAUAUGCUCCAUGUAUUUCAUAGAAAAACUGAUUACGGUGGCACUGCAGCAGCUGCUCUUGCUCAUGGAUUGCAUCAUGAUCAUUUCAAACGUCUCAUUUUUAUAUUUGCAAGAUGACUGGUGAUUUUCUAGGAUGCACAUUAUACGAUCUGAAAGAUGCUUUAGUCAAGACGGAAACACAUUUGUGCGUAAUAUAGCAACACAUACAAGAGGUGGUGCCUUAAAAUGCCAGCAUCCGUUUUAUAAAUAUAAACAUAUUAACACAUGCGUACCCUGGCUGUCAUUUCUAUAAAUGGCAUGUGUGAUUGUGGGAGAAGAAAUGAGCUUGCGGAUGGAGACCAGCUGCUGUGCAGCAUUGUAUCAUGAGAAACUGUACACCACAUGUUAUUGUUAAUGACGUCCAUCAAGGCUAAUAAUAAUAAUAUAAACAAGAAAAGAACCGCUUCCCAGCAACAAAUGGAAUUAAACUGAAUUCAAGGGAGUAUGACACCAGCUCCACCACAGAAACGAGGAGUUUCAGACUAGCUCAGCAAAUAGCUCUUGUGCAAUAUUCACAUUUUCUGUAUGCAUAAAUAUCUCAAAAUGAAAUAAAUAACCAACCCUUAUUGGGGUUCUGUUAGGUUUUAUGUUGUUGUUCUUCUUGGGGGAAGAAAACAGCACCACCAAAACAUUGACCUGAUUCACCUUUAAGAGAUGCCUUUUUAUUUUUAUUGAGCAUUCACUAUUGCAAAGACAAAGAUUCAUACAUAUUUAAGAAGUGGCUAAUUCGUAUGAGUUUGUACAACCUCAUUCGUACAAAUUCAUACGAUUUGUGCUAAAUCGUACGUAUUCUAUGUAUUUUAUGAGUUGCACAAUUCGUAUGAAUUUGUACAAAUGACCUACACCUAGCCCCGCCCCUAAACCUACCCGUCACUGGGGUCUAGACAAAUCGUACAAAAUCGUACAAAAGAGGUUGUAAAAAUCUGUACGAAUUAGCCAGCUUUUAAAAUACGUACGAAUUGGUCAUGAGAUAGCAUUGGACUUUCAGACCAAAGGCAUUCUUGUACAAAAAUCACAAGAUACACAGUUUUUCACGGCAUGAUUUUACGGAAUUUAUUAUUUUAUUUUUUUUACUUGACCACGUAGGGCAAACGCAAUAUAGAUACAUAAUUAAAAUGUGAUGUGGUGUUCAGAAAUGUCCAUCUAGUGCAUGUUUGAAUAGCAAAUCAAAAACCCAGCUGGACACAAACGCACUUUCGUGUAAACAGUCGCUUAUUCACGGGACAGAGCGCUAGUUUAAGUUUCUCAACGUUACCUCUCAAAAACUGUUUGAUUGUAGGUAAAUAUCUACCAGUGUCUGGUGUUCUGUGAGUGUGUAUGUCGAUACUGAUUGCAAAAUUGCUCAAAAU
This is a long non-coding RNA of Cyprinus carpio carpio, 4817 nucleotides long. NCBI's taxonomy places the organism in Eukaryota, Metazoa, Chordata, Actinopteri, Cypriniformes, Cyprinidae. The record is from Ensembl.